GUCCAGACUCCUACGGGAGGCAGCAGUGGGGAAUAUUGCACAAUGGGGGAAACCCUGAUGCAGCGACGCCGCGUGAGUGAAGAAGUAUUUCGGUAUGUAAAGCUCUAUCAGCAGGGAAGAAAAUGACGGUACCUGACUAAGAAGCCCCGGCUAACUACGUGCCAGCAGCCGCGGUAAUACGUAGGGGGCAAGCGUUAUCCGGAUUUACUGGGUGUAAAGGGAGCGUAGACGGCAUGGCAAGUCAGAUGUGAAAGCCCGGGGCUCAACCCCGGGACUGCAUUUGAAACUGUCAGGCUGGAGUGCAGGAGAGGUAAGUGGAAUUCCUAGUGUAGCGGUGAAAUGCGUAGAUAUUAGGAGGAACACCAGUGGCGAAGGCGGCUUACUGGACUGUAACUGACGUUGAGGCUCGAAAGCGUGGGGAGCAAACAGGAUUAGAUACCCGAGUAA
Molecule: ribosomal RNA, 447 nt
Filed under: uncultured bacterium
Lineage: Bacteria
Description: bacterial SSU rRNA
Rfam family: Bacterial small subunit ribosomal RNA
Source: RNAcentral